UGGGGAAUAUUGCACAAUGGGCGCAAGCCUGAUGCAGCCAUGCCGCGUGUGUGAAGAAGGCCUUCGGGUUGUAAAGCACUUUCAGCGAGGAGGAAGGUGGUGAACUUAAUACGUUCAUCAAUUGACGUUACUCGCAGAAGAAGCACCGGCUAACUCCGUGCCAGCAGCCGCGGUAAUACGGAGGGUGCAAGCGUUAAUCGGAAUUACUGGGCGUAAAGCGCACGCAGGCGGUUUGUUAAGUCAGAUGUGAAAUCCCCGGGCUCAACCUGGGAACUGCAUUUGAAACUGGCAAGCUAGAGUCUCGUAGAGGGGGGUAGAAUUCCAGGUGUAGCGGUGAAAUGCGUAGAGAUCUGGAGGAAUACCGGUGGCGAAGGCGGCCCCCUGGACGAAGACUGACGCUCAGGUGCGAAAGCGUGGGGAGCAAACAGAUUAGAUACCCUGGUAGUCCACGCUGUAAACGAUGUCGAUUUUGGAGGUUGUGCCC
RNAcentral lists this ribosomal RNA (484 nucleotides) under uncultured bacterium. RNAcentral's name for it is "partial 16S ribosomal RNA". It matches the Rfam family "Bacterial small subunit ribosomal RNA", at positions 355 to 832 of the family's 1533-position model. The record is from RNAcentral.